GACGAACGCUGGCGGCGUGCCUAAUACAUGCAAGUCGAGCGGAGAUUUGGGAGCUUGCUCCCAAAUCUUAGCGGCGGACGGGUGAGUAACACGUGGGCAACCUGCCCUGCAGACUGGGAUAACUCCGGGAAACCGGAGCUAAUACCGGGUAAUACAUCGCACCGCAUGGUGCAAUGUUGAAAGUUGGCUUUCGAGCUAACACUGCAGGAUGGGCCCGCGGCGCAUUAGCUAGUUGGUAAGGUAAUGGCUUACCAAGGCGACGAUGCGUAGCCGACCUGAGAGGGUGAUCGGCCACACUGGGACUGAGACACGGCCCAGACUCCUACGGGAGGCAGCAGUAGGGAAUCUUCCGCAAUGGACGAAAGUCUGACGGAGCAACGCCGCGUGAGUGACGAAGGCCUUCGGGUCGUAAAGCUCUGUUGUUAGGGAAGAACAAGUACCGUUCGAAUAGGGCGGUACCUUGACGGUACCUAACCAGAAAGCCACGGCUAACUACGUGCCAGCAGCCGCGGUAAUACGUAGGUGGCAAGCGUUGUCCGGAAUUAUUGGGCGUAAAGCGCGCGCAGGCGGUCUUUUAAGUCUGAUGUGAAAGCCCACGGCUCAACCGUGGAGGGUCAUUGGAAACUGGAGGACUUGAGUGCAGAAGAGGAGAGUGGAAUUCCACGUGUAGCGGUGAAAUGCGUAGAUAUGUGGAGGAACACCAGUGGCGAAGGCGGCUCUCUGGUCUGU
This 729-nucleotide ribosomal RNA is filed under the name Guptibacillus hwajinpoensis. RNAcentral describes it as "bacterial SSU rRNA". It matches the Rfam family "Bacterial small subunit ribosomal RNA", at positions 28 to 737 of the family's 1533-position model. The record is from RNAcentral. Lineage: Bacteria; Bacillati; Bacillota; Bacilli; Caryophanales; Guptibacillaceae.